CGAUGCAACGCGAAGAACCUUACCUGGGCUUGACAUCCCGGGAAUCCCCUGGAAACAGGGGAGUGCCCUUCGGGAGCUUGCACAGGUGCUGCAUGGCUGUCGUCAGCUCGUGUCGUGAGAUGUUCGGUUAAGUCCGCUAACGAGCGCAACCCUCGCUGUGUGUUAUAUGUGUCACACGGGACUGCCGGUCUUAAGCCGGAGGAAGGUGGGGAUGAUGUCAAGUCAGCAUGGCCUUUAUAUCCUGGGCUACACACACGCUACAAUGGCCAACACAAUAGGUUGCUAAGCCGCGAGGUGGCGCCAAUCCAUAAAGUUGGUCUCAGUUCAGAUUGUAGGCUGCAACCCGCCUGCAUGAAGAUGGAGUUGCUAGUAACCGCAGGUCAGCUAUACUGCGGUGAAUACGUUCCCGGGGCUU
This 415-nucleotide ribosomal RNA is filed under the name uncultured Leptolinea sp. RNAcentral's name for it is "bacterial SSU rRNA". It matches the Rfam family "Bacterial small subunit ribosomal RNA", at positions 952 to 1382 of the family's 1533-position model. Lineage: Bacteria; Bacillati; Chloroflexota; Anaerolineae; Anaerolineales; Anaerolineaceae. The record is from RNAcentral.